GAUGAACGCUGGCGGCGUGCCUAAUACAUGCAAGUCGAGCGAACGGACGAGAAGCUUGCUUCUCUGAUGUUAGCGGCGGACGGGUGAGUAACACGUGGAUAACCUACCUAUAAGACUGGGAUAACUUCGGGAAACCGGAGCUAAUACCGGAUAAUAUUUUGAACCGCAUGGUUCAAAAGUGAAAGACGGUCUUGCUGUCACUUAUAGAUGGAUCCGCGCUGCAUUAGCUAGUUGGUAAGGUAACGGCUUACCAAGGCAACGAUGCAUAGCCGACCUGAGAGGGUGAUCGGCCACACUGGAACUGAGACACGGUCCAGACUCCUACGGGAGGCAGCAGUAGGGAAUCUUCCGCAAUGGGCGAAAGCCUGACGGAGCAACGCCGCGUGAGUGAUGAAGGUCUUCGGAUCGUAAAACUCUGUUAUUAGGGAAGAACAUAUGUGUAAGUAACUGUGCACAUCUUGACGGUACCUAAUCAGAAAGCCACGGCUAACUACGUGCCAGCAGCCGCGGUAAUACGUAGGUGGCAAGCGUUAUCCGGAAUUAUUGGGCGUAAAGCGCGCGUAGGCGGUUUUUUAAGUCUGAUGUGAAAGCCCACGGCUCAACCGUGGAGGGUCAUUGGAAACUGGAAAACUUGAGUGCAGAAGAGGAAAGUGGAAUCCCAUGUGUAGCGGUGAAAUGCGCAGAGAUAUGGAGGAACACCAGUGGCGAAGGCGACUUUCUGGUCUGUAACUGACGCUGAUGUGCGAAAGCGUGGGGAUCAAACAGGAUUAGAUACCCUGGCAGUCCACGCCGUAAACGAUGAGUGCUAAGUGUUAGGGGGUUUCCGCCCCUUAGUGCUGCAGCUAACGCAUUAAGCACUCCGCCUGGGGAGUACGACCGCAAGGUUGAAACUCAAAGGAAUUGACGGGGACCCGCACAAGCGGUGGAGCAUGUGGUUUAAUUCGAAGCAACGCGAAGAACCUUACCAAAUCUUGACAUCCUUUGACAACUCUAGAGAUAGAGCUUUCCCCUUCGGGGGACAAAGUGACAGGUGGUGCAUGGUUGUCGUCAGCUCGUGUCGUGAGAUGUUGGGUUAAGUCCCGCAACGAGCGCAACCCUUAAGCUUAGUUGCCAUCAUUAAGUUGGGCACUCUAAGUUGACUGCCGGUGACAAACCGGAGGAAGGUGGGGAUGACGUCAAAUCAUCAUGCCCCUUAUGAUUUGGGCUACACACGUGCUACAAUGGACAAUACAAAGGGCAGCGAAACCGCGAGGUCAAGCAAAUCCCAUAAAGUUGUUCUCAGUUCGGAUUGUAGUCUGCAACUCGACUACAUGAAGCUGGAAUCGCUAGUAAUCGUAGAUCAGCAUGCUACGGUGAAUACGUUCCCGGGUCU
This 1372-nucleotide ribosomal RNA is filed under the name uncultured bacterium. RNAcentral's name for it is "bacterial SSU rRNA". It matches the Rfam family "Bacterial small subunit ribosomal RNA", at positions 28 to 1381 of the family's 1533-position model. The record is from RNAcentral.